Molecule: ribosomal RNA, 301 nt
Filed under: uncultured bacterium
Lineage: Bacteria
Description: partial 16S ribosomal RNA
Rfam family: Bacterial small subunit ribosomal RNA
Source: RNAcentral
CAGCAGCCGCGGUAAUACGUAGGGUGCAAGCGUUAAUCGGAAUUACUGGGCGUAAAGCGUGCGCAGGCGGUUUGUUAAGACAGAUGUGAGAUCCCCGGGCUCAACCUGGGAACUGCAUUUGUGACUGGCAAGCUAGAGUGUGGCAGAGGGGGGUGGAAUUCCGCGUGUAGCAGUGAAAUGCGUAGAUAUGCGGAGGAACACCGAUGGCGAAGGCAGCCCCCUGGGCCAACACUGACGCUCAUGCACGAAAGCGUGGGGAGCAAACAGGAUUAGAUACCCCUGUAGUCCCUGUCUCUUAUAA